This is a long non-coding RNA of Camelina sativa (false flax), 778 nucleotides long. RefSeq lists it as uncharacterized. The record is from RefSeq and is a predicted model, not a curated record. Lineage: Eukaryota; Viridiplantae; Streptophyta; Magnoliopsida; Brassicales; Brassicaceae.
UAAGUCUAUAAAAAAAACUAAAAAAGAUUUAUGGCCACGACAAUUUUGGCUUAUUGGUUUUUGAACAAAGCAGUUUAUUUUUCCAACGCGAUCCCUAUAAAAAAACUGAAUUUUAUCUGUUUCUAAACUAUUAUCACUCUCUAGCCACGAUCUACCUUCUUCUCAACUGCUCAGGAAGUCAGGAUCCAACAUAAAUAAACCCUCUCCAUUAACAAUUUAUUGAUGAUCUAUAAUUUGUUUUAUCUCUUCCACACUUCUCACUUAUCCAACGAAACAAUUAUUUUAUUUUUUCUAUAUAAGUACGAAUCAUCUUCUCUAGAAUGCUCGAACAACUGGAUUGUGGCUGCAGAGUUUGAAAGGUGUCAGAGGUCAGUAAUGUGUGGUCAGGUGGAGAGAUUCAAAUGGUCUUGACUCUUACAGGCAUGGUUUUCUGAAAUUUGGAAUUUUUUUAGAUCUUCCCAUGACGAGCCUCUUUCUCGAGUGGAAGCCACUUGACUUUAAUUGAAAACUCUAUUCCUCAUUAAUAAAUAGAAGAAGAGACUGGAGAAGCAAGCUACAGAAGAGGAAUAAGCAAGGCGAAUCUGAAACAUGUGUUGCUCAUAUGUUCAUUAAAAGGUCAUAGCUAAACCUUUUGUCCAUUUAGAGUUUUACAAAUACAAAUACUUUCAUUUUGUUGUCAAUUAUUUGUUGCACAAAAAGAAAUGCUGUCAACUAUUUUUAAUAUUUUUGUUGAGUGUUUUAUGAAUUUAUUUUAAUUAUGAAAUUGCAUAUUGUUAAA